UGUCCAGCAACUCCUAUCCCUACCUCCACGCGGUACCGGCCGGAAACUAUGAGCAACCUUAGGGAAGAUCGGGUAACCAACCCCGGUGGGAACUUUGGUCGUAGGCUGACAGGGAAGG
This is a non-coding RNA of Aedes albopictus (Asian tiger mosquito), 118 nucleotides long. The record is from Rfam. NCBI's taxonomy places the organism in Eukaryota, Metazoa, Arthropoda, Insecta, Diptera, Culicidae.